RNAcentral lists this ribosomal RNA (353 nucleotides) under Mesalina guttulata. Its description in RNAcentral is "partial 16S ribosomal RNA". It matches the Rfam family "Bacterial large subunit ribosomal RNA", at positions 1979 to 2542 of the family's 2925-position model. The record is from RNAcentral. Lineage: Eukaryota; Metazoa; Chordata; Lepidosauria; Squamata; Lacertidae.
AAUAGGGACUAGCAUGAACGGCUAAAUGAGGAUUACACUGUCUCUUGUAGUUGACCAAUGAAACUGAUCUUGUAGUCCAAAAGCUACAAUAAAAACACCAGACGAGAAGACCCUGUGGAGCUUCAAACCAGAACCAAAUUAAUGACCCCCCCCGGUUUUUAGUUGGGGCAACUUCGGAGUAUACACCAACCUCCGACAAACUAGUUAAGACAAACAAGUCUAAACAAUUUACUUGACCCAAUAGUUAUUAUACUACUUGACCAAUGAACCAAGUUACCCCAGGGAUAACAGCGCUAUCCCCUUUUAGAGUCCCUAUCGACAAGGGGGCUUACGACCUCGAUGUUGGAUCAGGA